This 83-nucleotide transfer RNA is filed under the name Schistocephalus solidus. It matches the Rfam family "tRNA". Rfam says of the family: Transfer RNA (tRNA) molecules are approximately 80 nucleotides in length. Their secondary structure includes four short double-helical elements and three loops (D, anti-codon, and T loops). The record is from Rfam by way of RNAcentral. Lineage: Eukaryota; Metazoa; Platyhelminthes; Cestoda; Diphyllobothriidea; Diphyllobothriidae.
GGCUUCGUAGCUCAGUUGGCUAGAGCGUUGGCUGUACUAAAACCUUCCACUUUAUGGCAUGGGUUCAAAUCCCACUGAGGUCA